Molecule: transfer RNA, 76 nt
Filed under: Chryseobacterium sp.
Lineage: Bacteria; Pseudomonadati; Bacteroidota; Flavobacteriia; Flavobacteriales; Weeksellaceae
Description: tRNA-Cys
Rfam family: tRNA
About the family: Transfer RNA (tRNA) molecules are approximately 80 nucleotides in length. Their secondary structure includes four short double-helical elements and three loops (D, anti-codon, and T loops).
Source: RNAcentral
GGUAUGAUACUCAAGUGGUUAAGAGAACAGACUGCAAAUCUGUUAUUCGGGGGUUCAAAUCCCUCUCAUACCUCUA